GACGACGCUGGCGGCGUGGAUUAGGCAUGCAAGUCGGACGUAGGGCUUUAUCGUAAGAUAGAGUUUGAGAGUGGCGAACGGGUGAGUAACACGUAGGAAUCUACCCUUAAGACGGGACAACCAGGAAACUUGGGCUAAUACCGGAUGAGAGUGCGAGAGAUUGCAUUUAAAAGGAUGGCGAAAGUUGUCGCUUAGGGAUGAGCCUGCGAUCUAUUAGUUAGUUGGUGAGGUAAGAGCUCACCAAGGCGAUGAUAGAUAGGCGGCCUUAACGGGUGGUCGCCCACACUGGGAUUGAGAUACGGCCCAGACUCCUACGGGAGGCAGCAGUCGAGAAUAGUCUACAAUGGCCGGAAGGCUGAUAGUGCGACGCCGCGUGAACGAGGGAGCCCUUCGGGGUGUAAAGUUCUUUUCUAUACGAGCAGUGCUAUAUAUAUGGAUAGUAUAUAUAGAGGGAUAGUAGUAUAGGAAUAAGCAACGGCUAACUCCGUG
RNAcentral lists this ribosomal RNA (489 nucleotides) under uncultured bacterium. Its description in RNAcentral is "bacterial SSU rRNA". It matches the Rfam family "Bacterial small subunit ribosomal RNA", at positions 33 to 507 of the family's 1533-position model. The record is from RNAcentral.